UUGAUUUGUGCUACCCUUUGAG
Molecule: non-coding RNA, 22 nt
Filed under: Arabidopsis thaliana (thale cress)
Lineage: Eukaryota; Viridiplantae; Streptophyta; Magnoliopsida; Brassicales; Brassicaceae
Source: RNAcentral